AUAAACUGAAGGAAGUCCAGAGAAGAGCAACAAAAAUAACGAAAGGUCUAGAAAACAUGACCCAUCUGGGGAGACUGAAAAAACAAUUGGUUUCGUUUGGGGAAGUGAAGACUGGAGACAGAUGUGAUAACAGUUUUCAAGUAGAUUAAAAGAUUGUUACAAGGAGGAAGGAGAAAAAUUGUUCUCGUUAACCUUUGAGGGUAGGACAAGAAGCAAUGAGCUUAAAUUGCAUAAAGGGCAGCUUAGAUUGGACAUUAGGAAGAACUUCCUAACUGACAGGAUAGUUAAGCACUGAAUAAAUUGCCCAAGGAGGUUGUGGAAUCUCCAACAUUGGAGAUUUUUAAGAGCAGGUCAAACAAGCACUUGUCAGGGAUGGUCUAGAUAAAAAUUAGUCCUUUCAAGAAUGCAGAGGCUGGACUAGAUGACCUCUCAAGGUCUCUUCCAAUCCUAUGAUUCUGUGUACUUGUGUGGCAGGAGAAGGGGUGGAAAUGGCAACAGACACAGAGAAGGGGGGCCCUGAACAAAUCAGUUUGAGAACCACUGGUCUAAACCAUCCAAUAAACCAAGCAACCAGCUUCAAGAGGAGUUGGAGAAUUAUCGGCGCAGCGUAUCCCACGGGCGUCUGGCAGUGCGGGAGAUGCAGGCUCUCAUGCCUGCCAUCCAGGAAGCAGGGAGGGGAAAUGAGUGUCGAAUAUACAAACCGGAUUCUGGGUGAUUGAAGUAACCAACCACCAGCACAAUCGGGGAACAGGAAUAAUAGCGUAUGAUUUCUACAGCUCACCAAACCAGCCCAUGGAAGGGGAAUUCUUGCAGUGCUUGGAGCCCGCUUCAUUCCAGCACAGGACACUACUCUGACGAAGAGGAACAUUCCCACUGACUCUGAUAACUCUGUGAACAUUCGUGGCUAUCAACAGACAGCUCUCCAACUUCAACUCAGUCUCUUUGUGUUCUUGUUCCUGGUGUUGAUGGCUCUGAUGUUCAUCUUGCAAAGCUUGUCCUGACUCAUUAUGUUGUUCCAACUGCUCAUCUCUACUCAUGGUAGCCAGUUAUUACCUACCCUCCCUUCUGAAACAUCUAUGAUGCUAUCAGUUCUGAUCAAUUCAGAUGUGUCAUUAUGGUAACAGAAACUUGGAUGCUUUAUUGAUGUAAUGACUAUCUUCUUUGCAAGAAGUUGUCGGUGUGCUCCCUUAUACUCCACUCUGUAUGGAUGUCUGUCAGUCACUCCUAGCAUAGCCUCAUAUGGUAUGCUCUUCAGGUCACCAAUGACAACGUUCAUGUGCAUCGUCUCUCCCUCUCCAUCUGGAACUUGCUCACUUGAAAUAUGCAUUCUGUGUUCUCUUGCCAUUCUUUUCUUUCCAUAUCCUGUUUCUCCAAACAACCAUAUGACCUCUGGCUUCCAGCCUCUCUCUU
RNAcentral lists this long non-coding RNA (1410 nucleotides) under Pelusios castaneus (West African mud turtle). Its description in RNAcentral is "lncRNA (ENSPCEG00000014515.1)". Lineage: Eukaryota; Metazoa; Chordata; Testudines; Pelomedusidae. The record is from RNAcentral.